CCUACGGGGCGCAGCAGUAGGGAAUAUUGCUCAAUGGGGGAAACCCUGAAGCAGCAACGCCGCGUGGAGGAUGAAGGUUUUCGGAUUGUAAACUCCUUUUGUUAGAGAAGAUAAUGACGGUAUCUAACGAAUAAGCACCGGCUAACUCCGUGCCAGCAGCCGCGGUAAUACGGAGGGUGCAAGCGUUACUCGGAAUCACUGGGCGUAAAGCGCGCGUAUGCGGGAUAGCAAGUCAGAUGUGAAAUCCUAUGGCUUAACCAUAGAACUGCAUUUGAAACUGUUAUUCUAGAGUAUGGGAGAGGUAGGUGGAAUUCUUGGUGUAGGGGUAAAAUCCGUAGAGAUCAAGAGGAAUACUCAUUGCGAAGGCGACCUGCUAGAACAUAACUGACGCUGAUGCGCGAAAGCGUGGGGAGCAAACAGGAUUAGAUACCCCUGUAGUC
This 440-nucleotide ribosomal RNA is filed under the name uncultured bacterium. RNAcentral's name for it is "partial 16S ribosomal RNA". It matches the Rfam family "Bacterial small subunit ribosomal RNA", at positions 338 to 795 of the family's 1533-position model. The record is from RNAcentral.